GCUAAUUCUGCCUUACCCAGUUCCAGAGAUGGGCAUGUGACUCAGGCCUGGCCAGGGUAUGGCAAGCUUAUCUAUGUGUUUACUUAGAAGUUGCAGAGACCAAAACUUGAAGCAAAUCAGGCCCCUCUGGAACUCUCACCCACUAAGAGAUUGCCUCAAUUUACAACGUAGCUGCCUGCCAUGGCGCCAGCCAGACCACAUGAUAGAUAAGACAUCUGAAGCAAGUCACACAGACCCCGCACCUCCUCCCCUCCUCCCCAUCCCCCCUUUAAAAGCCCUUGCCUUCUGCCCUGAAGGCUGAAGUGGUAUCUCAGGGCAGGAGCCUGUACUACUUCCCCUCGGGUAGCUCUUGAAUUAAGUCACUUUUUUUUUCCCACCAGACCUUGCUCUUGUUAUUCAGACUCUGCAAGCAGUGGAUGACUGAACCUGAGUUACAGAGGCAUUACAAGGAGGAUUUUGUUUUCUUCUUAGGUUUAGUUGUAUUUUCUAAUAUUUCUAUAAUAAAUAUGUCUUACUUUCAUUAAAAAA
This is a long non-coding RNA of Homo sapiens (human), 528 nucleotides long. RefSeq lists it as uncharacterized. The record is from RefSeq and is a predicted model, not a curated record. The transcript is spliced from 2 exons. NCBI's taxonomy places the organism in Eukaryota, Metazoa, Chordata, Mammalia, Primates, Hominidae.